Haemorhous mexicanus (house finch) is the source of this 2389-nucleotide long non-coding RNA. RefSeq lists it as uncharacterized. The record is from RefSeq and is a predicted model, not a curated record. Lineage: Eukaryota; Metazoa; Chordata; Aves; Passeriformes; Fringillidae. The transcript has 2 exons.
GCUCAGCGUCUCCCCUGGACGGUUUGGCAGUCAAUCAGGAUUAACCUGAGAGAGCUGGGAAGCAUUUCACCUGUGAAUAGGAUGCUUAAGGGCAGCGGCAGCCUGGUCCUUGCUGGAUGCCCUGGCAUGCCCAGGAUGGAAAGCGAAGGAGGCAGAGGGAGCCUGUGCAGAGGUGGCUCUGCCUGAGUUACUGUCACUUGCACAGCGAGUGGGGGACAGAAUCACAGAAUUUCUAGGUUGGAAGAGACCUUUAAGAUCAUCGAGUCCAACCCACGCUCCAACAUGCCAGGGGAGCUAUUGGCUAAUUCAGAACUGGGCUGGAGAGCAGGGGACACCCCGUCUCCGAGCCUGAACGUGCUAAUCGUGACCCAGGCUGCCUGAUGGGUGUUCUAGGAAAGCCAGAGAUGCCCAGGCGUGAGCAAUGGCUGGAUUGAGGAUGGGGGUGACCGGGGCGGCACAGGGUGGAGGUAAGCCAAAGGAGAACCCGGGAGCUGUCCUGGCCAGGAUGUUAGCGUUCAGGAACAUAUAAUCACAAGAAAUGAUUAUAUGCAGGUGCUUUUAUUGAAGAGCUCUGGGUGUCAGGGGUACAAGCCCAAAUCUGACUCCGACAUGGGUUCGGGAAGAACAUGUUUUUAUCUUCUACCGUUAUAUAACUUUCAUGUUAAUUAUUAAACUUAUAUAGUUCAAUUGUAUACAUAGAUUUCAGCCAAGCAUAGCCUCCUUAGACUAGGAACAUACAGUUUCUCAUGAUCCUUCUUAUGAUUAUACAAUAACUAUUUUUAAUUACUAAACAGUCAUCACAUCUAACAAUUAUAUCAUUUAUCAUACCACUUACGUAGGUACAAAGCUUAACCUUUUAAAGUCUAUCUUAACAUUUUCCCAGGGCCCUGCUAUCAAGGAGAGGUGGGAAGAUGCUCAUGGCUGGACAACAUGGUGGGGAGCUGGGGGGGAUGCUGGGGAGGCUGCUCGGCCUCCCAGGAAUACCGCCCUGGUGCAGGAGCUGUGGGAUCAGAAGCUGGAGAGCAGCAAUUUGUUUCUGAGCCCUGGGGAUUUCUGCACUGUGUUUUAUGAGGUGCUGUUUCAGGCAGGCCAAGAAGUGGGUUGUUUUCCGAGAAACCCCCUGGCUCCACCAGGCAGGCAUGUAUGUGAGGGGACAGUGCCAUCUGCCUGCUGGGACAGCCGGCAGCAGGGCAGUGGCACAGCCAUGGCACUGGCAAGGGACUGCAUAGUUUCAGCAUUAAGUCGGGACAAAAGGAACUGCUGGACUGAUCCUGUAAGGAGUGGGUCAAACAGCCUGGAAUGACUCACUUUGGAGCAGCACACACGGGUCUGUUUCCGCCUCUUCGUGUGAGCCUGGGCACAUCCCUCCCCAGCACUCCCUGUGCUUGGCAGGGGCCAGCAACCUCCCACUCCGAAAGCAGAAGUUGUCUCUGACCAGGCCUGGCAUGACAGGAGUGAGUGGCAGAGGCAGCUGCACGUGGGGGCACACUGGGCAGUGCACGGCCGCCACGCCACCAGCCUCAUGCUUCUACUGCUCCCACCCAUCCAGUAAACAAGUCCCGGGAACAGAGAUCUGAGUCAUCCACCAGCUCAAAAACACCCAAACAUGGUCAUGGCCAAGGAGCAGCUCCUCCGUGGGCCAGGCGUGGAAGGGGCUGCAGCAGUGGUGCAGUGCCUAGGCACAGCGAGGUUCCGCAAGACCCUGCAGUGAGGAUGCAGCAGCUCUUCCUGGGACAGACAGAGUCAUCAGUGGGACAGCCAGAGCCUUGAGGAUCUCUGUUAUCCCAUGGCUGUGAUGCACCCAGCUGGACACAAAUGGGGAUGGCCCAAUCCUGCCAGCGCUGCAGCUGCACACAGCCCCAGGCAUGUGGUGUGCAUCAGCCCCUGUAACACCAGUGGCACCUUCCAAAUCUGCUCCUUGUCCAGGGAAGGAUACAACAGUCAUGGGAAUAUUACCUCCAUGGCAAACACAUAGAGAGACCAGUUUAAAUUAAAAAAAAAGUCCUAUUCUGCAUGACUGCACUCAGCAGCAGUACAACCCUGCUGGGGACAGAAGCUUUUUGAGUGUCCUAAGGCACCUCAACCCGGAGACCCAGAGUUCAUGGGGUCAGAGCAAGGUAGGGGUGGGUCUGGACUGGGAUCCAGCUGGCUGUCUCCACCUUCUAAAAAUACAAGGCAUAGCACAUCUCGGCUUUCAGCCCAGGAGCCCUCCCCACCAGACUCCAUCUAUGCCAAUGAGGCAUCAUCUGUGGGAUCUGUUAGACCUGAAAAUUGGGAGAUUCCAAAGGAAACAGUUUCCAGAAGCACAGUGCCUCUUUCCAUGUUUACGGUUCAUUUAAAAUGAUCACUCCUUUCUCAUGCAAAAAUUAAGCUUGAAACAGGAAGAAAA